UACGUAGGGGGCAAGCGUUAUCCGGAUUCACUGGGCGUAAAGGGAGCGCAGGCGGCAUGGUAAGUCUGAUGUGAAAACCCGGGGCCCAACCCCGGGAGUGCAUUGGAAACUGCCAGGCUGGAGUGUCGGAGGGGUAAGCGGAAUUCCUAGUGUAGCGGUGAAAUGCGUAGAUAUUAGGAGGAACACCAGUGGCGAAGGCGGCUUACUGGACGACUACUGACGCUGAGGCUCGAAAGCGUGGGGAGCAAACAGG
RNAcentral lists this ribosomal RNA (253 nucleotides) under uncultured bacterium. RNAcentral's name for it is "partial 16S ribosomal RNA". It matches the Rfam family "Bacterial small subunit ribosomal RNA", at positions 524 to 776 of the family's 1533-position model. The record is from RNAcentral.